Non-coding RNA from Pelobates cultripes (western spadefoot toad), 952 nucleotides. NCBI's taxonomy places the organism in Eukaryota, Metazoa, Chordata, Amphibia, Anura, Pelobatidae. The record is from the annotation of a GenBank genome assembly.
AUUAAUCACAUUGUGUCGAGGUUCUCGUCAGUAUUUCCCCGUGAGUUUCAUAACUUUUUUUUUUGGGGGGGGGUAAAUCUUUUUUGUUAUAUGACAGAGUGAAAUAACAGUCGUGAUAAUGCAAAAUUUUAGACAUCGUGCAGUACACCAAAAUAUGCAGGUCGGGAGGGGAGGGCCUGUACAGUUUUUGUAACGUAAAGGUGUUGUUUCCCUUAUUCCUCACACUCUGUAGUUCCAUCUCCCCACCUCCUUCCAUUUGACUUUAUUACUUGGCCUCGUUGUGUCAAGCGAUAGAAUAUGUGAGUGUCCCUAGGUGCGAGUUAGUGAGAUAUGUAAGGUAGUGAGAUAUAACGUUGAGACUCACGGGUCUUUGCGUUCCAGGUGUGUAUGCGGGUCUAUAGCGUGCCAUGAGAGUAGGUUUAGUGGAUUGUAUAAUACGUGUCCCCGUUUCUAGUGCGUUAUCUUAUAUGGCUAGGGGUGUUGUCAUUACUACUUGCAGCAGAGCCUACAGUCCGUAAAAUUUCCCAUGCGUGAUGCCUUAGUGUCGUUAGUGGUGUGUGUGUCGGAGACCUAGUAAUGUGUGAUUGGAGUGGAUUUAAGAUGUUGCGUGACUGUUGUGUUAUAUGAGCGUGAGCUCUACUUUUGACAUUUUGAUACUGGAACGUUUAACAAGGUAUGGUUUGACUCGUGUUUCCCUAGGGAGUCUGAACACUCCUCAGAUCCCGUCAGGGCUGGGUGUUCCUCUUUUUAGAGUUUCAGAAGUCGAUAGAUUUUUUCUUUUUUUUCUCUUACCCUUCCCUUUUUUCCCCCCUUUGUUUUUAUGGUAAUGUAUCUCUCCGAUCCCGAUCCCGAUUCCCCGGUUCUGGGGCCCGUCCAGCGAAAUGGAAGAGAGAGAGAGAGGUAAGAAGAGAAAAGAAGAAAAGAAGAAGAAGAAGAAAGAAAGAGAGAGAGG